Molecule: long non-coding RNA, 10149 nt
Filed under: Homo sapiens (human)
Lineage: Eukaryota; Metazoa; Chordata; Mammalia; Primates; Hominidae
Description: non-protein coding LINC00963:47
Source: RNAcentral
AGGGGCACAGUAGGCGCCUUAGCCACUGGCAGAAUUUCACCGGCGCUCUGCCCGACGCCCCCAGCCCCAGGGCCGGGCGUGGGUGGAAGUGUCUGGAAGGGUGGGUUCACCAGGGCUGGGCACGUCAGCGGCCCCGUACAGAGAAUCCGGUGCCUGGGGUCUCUGGAGGGGGUACUCAGAGUAUCCGAGGAGGAGACUCCUGGAUGCUAACAGAGCCCCCAGUUAGGAGCAGUCCGCGAGACAGUUGGUAACAGUGCUGGCCUUGCCCGGGCGCCGGAAGGUUCCGUGAGGCCCAGCAAGUCCUGACUUGGCACAGGGCCCAGCACACGGCGCAGUAACAAUAUAAUUACCGUAUGCAGUCCCCCAGGAUACAGGGUCAAAGGAGAGCACAACCAUCGCAGUUGGAAGCCCAUGGGGCAGCCCAGUGCAGAUGCAUCUGACUUACGAAACUUCAGUGACACCUGCUCUGUGCCAGACACUGAAGAUGGAGCAGUGAACAGCACUGACCCAGCCUGUCCUCCUGUUGCCUGCAGGCCAGAAGCAAGGUCUCGCUGUGUUACCCUGGCUGGAGUGCAGUGGCUACUUACAGGCAUGAUCAUAGCAUACUGCAGCCUCGAACUCCUGGACUAGAGCAGUUCUCCUGCCUCAGCCUCCAGAGCAGCUGGGACUGCAGACACGCACCACAGAGCCCAGCCUGAGUCAUUUUGAUUCUGUAACUGGCUUCCUCUCGGCGGGCAGGCUCACACCCUCCACCCCCAGCUGGAGAUGGAAGGAGGAUGCUCACCGCCCAUUCCUCAUGCAGGCCAUCGAUGGAAAUGUCAGACAGUGCGAGUCCACGCCUGAACACUUCUGGGGUCCGCUCUGGGACUGACACUGGCAGAUCCAUCGGUGAGCUCCCGCCUGCCACCUCUGGGCCUGCAUUGCGGUGAUAGGGCCAAGGGCCUGGGCCUUCAAUUCUCCAGACUUGCCAAAAUGCUCAGCGCAGGCCUCGUCGGCAACUGCAGACAAGCAGAGGCAGCACCUGGGCUCUGCCUGUGCCUGGCACAGUGAAGCGAGGGUGGGGGCAGGAAUGAGGGUCCUCUCCAUGCAAGGGGGGAAGAUAGAAGAACAAAAUUUCACCCUAAUGUAGUGUCUUUAGACCGUGCAAUGUUGUGCUCCUGUUAGUCUGAUAUCAGGGGCUUGCAGCCUGGCAAAGGAAAAAAAACAGGCUGAGGCACAUGAUAGAAGACAGGCAGGGAUGCCACAAUCAUAACCAUGGCAAAGACCAGGAUCAGAAAGGCCCACCAUCUCUGACCCCAAAUCCCUGGGCAGAUGGUUCCAGAACUCAGAAUUUUCCCAGUUGUAGAAAGAUGGGGCCAGGUGCAGUGGCUCACGCCUGUAAUCCCAGCAUUUUGGGAGUACAAGGUGGGCGGAUCACCUGAGGUCAGGAGUUCGAGACCAGCCUGGCCAACAUGGUGAAACCCUGUCUCUACUAAAAAAAAAAAAAAAAAUUAGCCGGGCGUGGCGAUGCAUGCCUGUAAUCCCAGCUACUCGGGAGGCUGAGCCAGGAGAAUUGCUUGAACCCGGGAGGCGGAGGUUGCAGUGAGCCAAGAUCGCGCCACUACACUCCAGUCCGGGCGACAGAGCAAGAGUCCAUUCCCCCACCACCAAAAAAAAAAAAAAAAGAAAGAAAGAUGAUGUGAUACAUAUCACAUAUUUCCUAACACCCCCAACCAAACACAUUUAUGCAUAUGCAUAAAGCAGACGAGGAAAGAUUCUAAAUAGGCUCUGAAUCUCAGUUUUCUCAUCUCUACAAUGGGGCAGUGAUGGCAUGCACCUCCCAGGGCUGUUCUGAGAAUCUGAUGCCUCCCAUUGCACUGGUGAGCCUGGCACAGGCACAGGUCCCACCCCAGGCCCUUUGAACUGGCUGUUCCUUUGGCCUGGAACAUUCCUCCCCAGAUACCUCCUGAGAGGGCUCCCUCACUUCCUUCAAGGCACUGCUCAAAUGCUACCUCUUCACAGAGGCUUUCCCUGACCACCCCGUCUCUUUCCUCUUCCUGCAUAGCCUCUGUCACCUGACAUUUUAUGUCAUAAAUUACUCAUUUAUUAAUUUCCUGCUCUCCCACAGUGGCACCCGAGCUCUGUGAGGGCAAGACUUUGUUCGGUUGUGGGCUAUGCCCCCAACCCCUCGGACAGUGCCUGCACAGGUGGACAUUUUUGUUGGAUGAAGGAUUUUCUGUUAAAUGUGUCUGGCACACACAGAAAAACAAAGCCCAGCAGGUACGAUGGUGAUUAUUAUUGUUACUGGUGGCGCUCUAUUAUUGUUAUUAGUGUCUGUUGAAAAAGACCCUGAGCUAUACCAGCCCUUGGUUCUCCAGCCUGUGAAAUGGGCAUCCUGGGCACUGAGGCACUAGCCUUGGGAAGCUGAUAGGGGGUCCCUGCAGGAGAGACAAAGAACACUGCCCACCCCCCCGGGGGAGCCUGCGCCCCUCACCGGAAAGAGAAGCAGGGGGGAGCAGAGGGAGCUUGCAGCCCCACACGCAGGGCUGCCAGAAGGCCAUACAUAAUUCAUUGCCAAAUGGGGCUGCGGGCGGCUCUCCGCGGCGUGCGCUGGGGGCUCACUCUGCGCCUGGCACUUCGCUGACUGCGCCUCACACGUUGCCUCAUUGCAUCUUCAUGGAUUUGCAGGGUGUGACCCUUCCCCCUGUUUUACCCAGGGGGAUCCUGAGGCUCAGAGGAUGGGGCCACCGUGCUAGUCACACAGCCUCUCUGUGGCCAAGCUGGGCCUCGGGCCAGCAGAUUCGGCCCCCAGCGGCCCCCAUUCACUGCCUCUCUGCUGAGGGAAAAGACGGGCCUGGGGAGCGGGUGGGAGGCACAAAGGAGACCCCGCUCUGAGACAGGCUGCAGAAGAGGGAGCUGGGUCUCAGCAGGGCUGGGGAAGGCUCUGGCCCCAGCCCUCCGCCCAACCCCCUGCCCUCCUCUCCUGGAGGAGAUGCUCCCCAAAUUAGCCAUCAUGAGCGCUGGCUCUGGGGGUUGGGCGUUGGGGAGCAGUUUGCUCAGCUGUAAAAUGGGAAUAACAGAAGCCGUCCCUGGGACUAUGAGAUCAAGGUGCUCAAGAAAAGUGGUGUCUGCUGAGGGGAAAAGCCAGUCCCAAAAGGUUGCAUACUCUCAUUCUGUUUAUUUGUUUUUGUUUUUGAGACAGGGUCUCGCCCUGUCACCCAGGCUGGAGUACAGUGGCGCAAUAUGGGCUCACUGCAACCUCCACCUCCUGGGCUCAAGUGAUCCUCCCAUCUCAGACCCUCAAGGAGCUGGGGCUACAGGCACGUGCCACCGUGUCCGGCUAAUUUUUGUAUUUUUUGUAGAGACAGGGUUUCACCAUGUUGCCCAGGCUGGUCUCAAACUCCUGAGCUCAGGUGAUCCGCCUGCCUUGGCCUGCGAUAAAAUUGCACAGAAGUAAAUACACACACGUGAGGAUACGGAAAACCGGGGAAACCUGAGCAAGAGCAGUCAGACCCCGGCUGUGAUGGCGCCCAGUAGUUCUGCGAGAUGUUACCAUUGGGGAAACUGAGUGAAGGCGGGUACCUGGGAUCCCUCUGUUUUCUUUUUUGUUGUUGUUGUUAUUUUGAGAUGAAGUUUCCCUCUUGUUGCCCAGGCUGGGUGAUCCACCUGCCUCGGCCUCCCAAAGUGCUGGGAUUACACGCGUGAGCCACUGUGCCCAGCCUCUCUGUUUUAUUUCUUCUUUUUUUUUUUUUUUUUUUGGAGACGCUCUGUCGCCCAGGCUGGAGUGCAGUGGCACGAUAUUGGCUCACUGCAAGCUCCGCCUCCUGGGUUCACACCAUUCUCCUGCCUCAGCCUCCCGAGUAGCUGGGACUACAGGCGCCCGCCACCUCGCCCGUCUAAUUUUUUGUAUUUUUAGUAGAGGCGGGGCUUCACCGUGUUAGCCAGGAUGGUCUCAAUCUCCUGACCUCGUCAUCCGCCCGUCUCGGCCUCCCAUAGUGCUGGGAUUACAGGCAUGAGCCACCACGCCCGGCUGUUUUAUUUCUUAUAACUGUACAGGAAUCUACAAUGAUUGUAACAAAAAUUUCAAUUAAGGCCACUCUAGGCACAUGGCCUGUGGGGUAGCCCUGCUCAACAAGAAGCCGUCAAAAAAAUGUUUUUUAAUUAAAAAAUUUCUUCAAUUAAAAAGCGUUAUCUUCCUCUGCCCGGAAAGGGUUAAGUGAGUCACUGCAGUUAGCUCCCCUUCCCCCACAACCACCUAGACCAGGCCAGGGACCAGCGGGCAAUUGCCUGGCAGCUGGAGUUUUCCUCCACUGUGGACUGUACUUCUUGCGUCACUCUGAAUGUCUCCAGUCUUUAUUCCAGAAUGUUCUGGUCCUCUCCCACUUUUCCAAGGACAGGAAUUCCCUAGUGGGGCUCCAGAAGAGGCUCUGGAGGAGAACAAGAAAGGCCCUUGUCAUCCAUUGGCCUCAGGCUGGGAAAUCUCGGUUCCACUCCCAGCCCAGCCUCAAUAUUAGGUUGUCAGUCUGGAGUCUGAGAGCCAUGCCCCCACCCCCUUAGUCCUUCACCUCCAGGAGAGUUGGGGAUACUGGAAAGAAUGUUGAGUGUCAGAGCCCCUCUCAGUGGCUCACGCCUGAAAUCCCAGCCCUUUGGGAGGCUGAGGCAGGUGGAUUGCUUGAGGCCAAGAGUUCAAGACCAGCCUGGCCAACGCGACGAAACCCUGACUCUACUAAAAAUACAAAAAUUAGCUGGGCGUGGUGGCACACACCUGUAAUCCCAGCAGCUCGGGAGGCUGAGGCAGGAGAAUUGUUUGAACCUGAGAGGUGGAGGUUGCAGUGAGCUGAGAUCACAACACUGCACUCAAAAAGUAGUUAAUUAAUUUAGUUUAAUUAAAAAAGAAUAUUGAGUGUCAGGCAAUCUGGGUAGAACCCAUUGUGUUUCUACAGGAUAGAAUCUGCUGUGUUCUCUAGCGGAACUUCCGGAUCACCUUCACCGUAUGACUCUAGACAAUCCCUGUCCACUCUUCAGUUUUAGAUGCCCCAUUCAAAGAAUGAAAGAAUUGUCCUAGAUGAUCCUUUAGGGUCUUCCAGGCUGAUGACAAGGGGGACCUGGCCCCUCUGCUGCUGGCCAAAGAGGACUUUACUUCCCAUUCCGUGUGGUUGAACAAGAAUUGCUGGGCUCCAGUCCUGCCUUUGGCCCUUCCCUACAUGUGACCUUGGGCCCUCUUUGCCUUUCAGAAUCAAUACAGUGAGAGAGUUAACACAAGCUCAGGUUAGUAAGUCAUUCAACAAACAUUUACUGAGCGCUUAUCAAAUACUGCAUGCUGGAGUGGACACUGGAGAAAAAGGUGAGGAGAAGGCCGGGCGCAGUGGCUCGUGACUGUAAUUCCAGCACUUUGAGGGGCAGAGGCAGGUGGAUUACCUGAGGUCAGGAGUUUGAGACCAGCCUGGCCAACAUGGCAAAACCCCGUCUCUACUAAAAAUACAAAUAUUAGCCAGGCAUGGUGGUGCAUAUCUGUAGUCCCAGCUACUCAGGAGGCUGAGCAGGAGAAUCACUUGAACUCAGGAGGUGGAGCGUGCAGUGGGCCGAGAUUGCACCUCUGCACUCCAGCCUGGGCAACAUAGUGAGACUCUGUCUCAAAUAAAUAAAUAAAGUGAGGAGAAAAAAAUACCAUCUCUGUCUUCACAGAACUUAUAGUUUGAGAGGGGAGAAUCCCACAAGUAAAUUAUAAAUCUCAGCUGAGAUUAUGCAAAGAAGCAAAGGCCGGACGUGGUGGCUCACGCCUGUAAUCCCAGCACUUUGGGAGGCCGAGACGGGCGGAUCAUGAGGUCAGGAGAUUGAGACCAUCCUGGCUAACACGGUGAAACCCUGUCUCUACUAAAAAUACAAAAAAAUUAGCUGGGCGUGGUGGCGGGCGUCUGUAGUUCCAGCUACUCGGGAGGCUGAGGCAGGAGGAUGGCGUGAACCCAGGAGCACAGGUUGCAGUGAGCCGAGAUGGCGCCACUGCACUCCAGCCUGGGCGACAGAGCGAGACUCUGUCUCAAAAAAAAAAAAAAAAAAGGAAGCAAAGUGCCCAGCUGGGAUGGUGGUUUCAGAGGCCACAGUGGGAGCUUCCCAGAGAAGGGAUGAUUGAGCUAAGUCUAAGCAAAAGGGGUGGUCAGGGCAGCAGCUGCUCCAAAACAGGGGCUGGGGGCUUAUGUGGAGAGAGAAGACAUGGAGAGACCAUGCCCAGAAGGAGGCGGCGGCUUCAGUGAACAGUGCAGGGGAGCAGGUCCGAGGAGGCCGCCUACCAGGGGAAGGAGUCUCAUCUCCAUCCUAGACAAAAAAAGGAUCUUUUGAGAUGCAUUAAGCAGGGGAGUCACAGAUUGGAUUUGUGUUUUGAGAAUCUCCUGCUUACCUAGAGAAGAAGGGCAUCUCCUGGGCCCUCACUGUUGCCUUAAAUGAUUUUUAUUGUGUAUUACUUAAACAUGUGCAAGCAUAAAAUGAGAUAUAAACUCCUUGUAGCUCUUAUACAAGCAUCAGACCAAGACAAAUUGACCCAUCACGUACAAAAUCGAUUCAAAUCAGAUUAAUUUUAUGUGACAUGUUAUUAUGCCUUUUGUCUGAAACCCUGCCACCACCCACAGUGCAAUUAUGGCCCAACCACUGUGGUGUUCUGAAUUUGUGGGACAGAGAAUAUUGGCCUUUUAAACACGUGCAUGCAUGCAUUUGCGUGUGCGCACACACACACAUCCCAAAUGAUUUUUUCCCACUAUAUAUGAAGAACUCCUACAAACCAAAAAGAAAAAGGCAGACAAUUCAAGAGAAAAAUGGGGGAGGGCUUGCAUUAAAGUACUUCAUAACAAGAGUACUUAGGAGGCCAACAAAUACACGAAAAGCUGCUAGCUUCAUGACUCAUGGGGGUGGCUUGGUCAGUUCAGGAUACUGUAACAAAAUACCUUAGACUGGGAAAUUUAUAAACAACGGAAUUUAUUGCUCACAGUUCUGGAGGCUGGGAAGUCCAAGAUCAAGGCAGCAGUAGAUCCGGUGCCUGAGCCCGUUCCCUGCUUCAAACAUGGCACCUUCUUGCUGUAUCCUCACAUGGUGGAAGGGGGAAGACAGUUCUCUGGGGCCUCUUUUAUAAGGGCAGUUAUCCAAUUCACAAGGAUAGAGCCCUCAUGACCUAAUCACCUUUCAAAGAUCCCCAUCUUCUAACACCUUCUAACACCAUCACCUUGGUGAUUAGGUCUUUUUGUUGUUGUUGUUGUUGAGAUGGACUCUCACUCUGUUGCCUAGGCUGGAGUGCAGUGGCGUAAUCUUGGUUCACUGCAACCUCUGCCUCCCGGGCUGAAGUGAUUAUCCUGUUUCGUCCUCCCAAAAUGCUGGGAUUACAGGCAUGAGCCACUGCACCCAGCCGAUUAAGUCUUAACGUAUGAGUUUUUGGGAGAAACUCAAACAUUCGGACAAUAGCAAGGAGAAUACAAAACCACAGUGAGCUACCGCUUCAGACACCAGAGAAGUUUAAGUGAAAAAGACUGGCAAUACCAAGUGCUGAUGAGGAUAUGGAGCAACCAGAACUCUCAGACAUUGCUGAUGGGAAUCUAAAUUAGUAUAACCACCACGAAAGCAUCCGUAAGGUUUAAUUGUGUUGAACACACCCUGCCCUCUGACCAAGCAUUUCCACUCCUGGGCAUACAGGCAAAAGAAAUGCAUCCACGUGUUCAUCAAAAGAUGUAACCUGUGCCAGGUGAGGUGGUUCAUGCCUGUAAUCCCAGCACAUCGGGAGGCCAAGGAGGGAGGAUUGCUUGAGCCCAGAAGUUCGAGAGCAGCCUAGGCAACAAGGCAAAACCUCGUCUCUACUAAAAAGUAGCCAGGCAUGAUGGUAUAUGCCUGUAGUCCCAGCUACUCAGGAGGCCAAGGCAUGCAGAUUGAUUGAACCCGGAAGGUGGAGGCUACAGUGAAUUGUGAUCUCGCCACUGCACUCCAGCCUGGGUGACAGAGCAAGAUCUUGUCUCAAUUAAAAAAAAAGGAAGAAAGAAAGACAUAACCUGGAAUAUUCACACCAACACUAUUCAGGAUAGCCCUAAACUGGAAAGAAUCUGAAUAUCCUCCGGCUUUAGAACAGAGAGAAAUUAUAGACUAUUCAUUCAUACAGGGGAUGAUUGAUCAGCUUUAAGAAUAAACAAACCGUACACAACAAUAUAGAUGAAUCUACAACCUUAAUGUGCAAAAUAGUUCACAUAUAUAAAGGACAAAAACAGGCAAAACUACUCCAUGGUGUUAGAAAUAGGGGUAGAGGUUACCCUCAUGCGGCAGGAGGGUUAGUGAUAGGGGAUUUGGAAGAGGAGGAGCCCAAUGGACUGAACAGCUGAGCUGGAAACAGCAAUUUGUUCCUUAAAGUUCUGAACCCAACUGUUAUCCAGCAUGGAGUCUGUCUGGAGAGGCCAGAUGUGGGGCCUCUCACAGGGGAAUGAGAAGUGCCUCUCAGGGUCCCACCCAUGAUCCCCCUUUCCUUGCCCACACAACCACCAACUGGCAAGUAGUAACCCAGGACCUGUAGCCCCCACUGGCUUGACACAGAGCAUAAUGCAAGCUUUUCCUGCUCCAGGUCCUGGACACCACUUUGCCCUUUGCCCCACACGUACAGCCCCCUGACCAAAAGCUGGGUACUCUGGCUUGACUAGAGGGAGCUAGACUCCAGGAAUAAGUAAGGAGCUGGGCUUCCACGCUAGAGAACAAGAGCUUCUCUGGGGAAAGGGGCUUCCCAUGAAGCCCUGGGGCACUGGGAGAUUAAUGGGCAGACCUCUGGCCUCAGCUUCCAGGGAAGGGGAGGGUGUGGGCCAACAUGCGGUGGCUACACUGACCACAAGCCGAUGACCCCAGCCAGCCUCAGGAUGUCUCAGCUCUAGGCAUGGUUUUUCGUUUUGUUUUGUCGUGUUUUGUUUUUGAGAUGGAACCUCGCUCUGUCGCCUAGGCUGGAGUGAAGUGGCACCAUCUCGUCUCCCUGCAACCUCCACCUCCUGGGUUCAAGCGAUUCUCCUGCCUCAGCCUCCUGAGUAGCUGAGAUUACAUGUGCGUGCCACCUUGCCCAGCUAAUUUUUGUAUUUUUAGUAGAGAUAGGGUUUCAUCAUGUUAGCUAGGCUGGUCUCAAACUCCUGACCUCAAGUGAUCUGCCUGCCUCAGCCUCCCAAAGUGCAAGGAUUACAGGCAUGAGCCACCAUGCCCGGCAUAGGCAUGGUUUUGACAAUCUGUCUCUUUGUGCCCUGGCUCCUUCUCCAACUCCUCUUUGGAGGAGGCACAGGAGGAGGGGUCAUUUCACUGUUCCUGAAAAGUAGACAUAUAACCUACAUGCAACUGCCAGGUGAUAAGGGCCCCAUCUGUCUGGCAUGACGUUGGAGGUCCACAAAGGCUGAUUAGAUGAAUGCUCAGCUCUGGGGCCUCCCCACAGAGCUCACAGACAGGCGUGAAGGAAAGCAGGACUCUUAUUAGAAUAUGUUCAGAGUUUUCACUGAAGAAGCCUCCUGUGUGGGCCAGGCACUGUGCUCAGUGCUUUGAUUCACAGUCUCAUUUAAUUCUCACCAUUUACAGACAAGAAUUCAGCUAAGAUCCUUUUCAAUCAAGUCUGGCAAUAUCUGCCUUUCAAUGGCAGUGCCUAGUCCUUUCAUAUGUAAUAUACUUAUCAUUAUGGGUGGGUUUAAGUUUUAUCAUCUUGCUAUUUGUUAUCUAUUUGUCCCCCCUCUUUUGUUCCUCCUUUACUGCCUUCUAUUUGGUUGAGACUUAAUAAAAUAUUUUAUUCCAUCUUCUCUACUUACUUUUUAGCUAUGCCUCCUUAUAUUUUUGGUUGCUGGAGUGUUACAAUAUGCAUUCUUCAAUAUCCAGUCUACUUUCCAAUAAUAUUACACCACUUCAUGUAUAACGUAAGAACGUUACAAAAAUAUAAUGCCAGGGCUGGGCGCAGUGGCUCACGCCUGUAAUCCCAGCACUUUGGGAGGUCGAGGCGGGCAGCUCACCUGAGGUCAGGAGUUCGAGACCAGCCUGACCAACAUGGAGGAACCCCAUCUCUACUAAAAAUACAAAAUUAGCCGGGCAUGGUGGCUCAUGCCUGUAAUCCCAGCUACUCAGGAGGCUGAGGCAGGAGAGUUGCUUGAACCGGGGAGGUGGAAGUUGCAAUGAGCCAAGAUUGCGCCGUUGCAC